Molecule: non-coding RNA, 77 nt
Organism: Camelus dromedarius (Arabian camel)
Lineage: Eukaryota; Metazoa; Chordata; Mammalia; Artiodactyla; Camelidae
Source: the annotation of a RefSeq genome assembly
GGGGGUGGAGCAUAGCUCAGUGGUAAAGCAUGUGCUUUGCAUGCACGAGGUCCUGGGUUCAAUCCCCAGCACCUCCA